RNAcentral lists this ribosomal RNA (459 nucleotides) under uncultured bacterium. RNAcentral describes it as "SSU rRNA". It matches the Rfam family "Bacterial small subunit ribosomal RNA", at positions 26 to 518 of the family's 1533-position model. The record is from RNAcentral.
AGAAUCAACGCUGGCGGCGUGCCUAACACAUGCAAGUCGAACGAGAAAGGGUAGCAAUACCUGAGUAAAGUGGCGCACGGGUGAGUAACACGUGACUAACCUACCCUGGAGUGGGGGAUAACUGAGGGAAACCUUAGCUAAUACCGCAUAAUACCUACGGGUCAAAGGAGCAAUUCGCUUCAGGAGGGGGUCGCGGCCGAUUAGUUAGUUGGCGGGGUAAUGGCCCACCAAGACGAUGAUCGGUAUCCGGCCUGAGAGGGCGCACGGACACACUGGAACUGAAACACGGUCCAGACUCCUACGGGAGGCAGCAGUGGGGAAUUUUGCGCAAUGGGGGAAACCCUGACGCAGCAACGCCGCGUGGAGGAUGAAGUCCUUCGGGACGUAACUCCUUUCGAUCGGGACGAUUAUGACGGUACCGGAAGAAGAAGCCCCGGCUAACUUCGUGCCAGCAGCCGC